This 201-nucleotide long non-coding RNA is filed under the name Physcomitrium patens. RNAcentral describes it as "long non-coding RNA (PPAT_LNC010206)". Lineage: Eukaryota; Viridiplantae; Streptophyta; Bryopsida; Funariales; Funariaceae. The record is from RNAcentral.
UAUAAGGAAGAGACCGAUAAAAAAAAAGGAGAAGAUUAUAGUUUCCUUGUGUGUUCAGAUAUUGGAAAUAGAGACAAUACAUUCAAGAGGUAAUUGAUUGUGUGACCCUAACGUGAAUGCUUAAGCAACUAGUCAUUCUCCGUGUUUGAAUCCCCCUAUACGGGUUUAUUCCCAUUAGAUUAAUUUGAAAUAAGUAAAAUG